CCGUUGUACACACGCCCGUCACACCAUGGGAGCGGGUUCUGCCAGAAGUAGUUAGCCUAACCGCAAGGAGGGCGAUUACCACGGCAGGGUUCGUGACUGGGGUG
RNAcentral lists this ribosomal RNA (104 nucleotides) under uncultured bacterium. RNAcentral's name for it is "partial 16S ribosomal RNA". It matches the Rfam family "Bacterial small subunit ribosomal RNA", at positions 1378 to 1482 of the family's 1533-position model. The record is from RNAcentral.